RNAcentral lists this ribosomal RNA (59 nucleotides) under Cookeina speciosa. RNAcentral's name for it is "partial 25S ribosomal RNA". It matches the Rfam family "Eukaryotic large subunit ribosomal RNA", at positions 1 to 57 of the family's 3401-position model. The record is from RNAcentral. Lineage: Eukaryota; Fungi; Ascomycota; Pezizomycetes; Pezizales; Sarcoscyphaceae.
AUCGACCUCGGAUCAGGUAGGGAUACCCGCUGAACUUAAGCAUAUCAAUAAGCGGAGGA